UACGUAGGGUGCAAGCGUUGUCCGGAAUUAUUGGGCGUAAAGAGCUCGUAGGCGGUCUGUCGCGUCGGCUAUGAAAUCCCGAGGCUCAACCUCGGGUCUGCAGUCGAUACGGGCAAACUAGAGUAUUGCAGGGGAGACUGGAAUUCCUGGUGUAGCGGUGAAAUGCGCAGAUAUCAGGAGGAACACCGGUGGCGAAGGCGGGUCUCUGGGCCGAAACUGACGCUGAGGAGCGAAAGCGUGGGGAGCAAACAGG
RNAcentral lists this ribosomal RNA (253 nucleotides) under uncultured bacterium. RNAcentral describes it as "partial 16S ribosomal RNA". It matches the Rfam family "Bacterial small subunit ribosomal RNA", at positions 524 to 776 of the family's 1533-position model. The record is from RNAcentral.